RNAcentral lists this ribosomal RNA (489 nucleotides) under uncultured bacterium. RNAcentral describes it as "partial 16S ribosomal RNA". It matches the Rfam family "Bacterial small subunit ribosomal RNA", at positions 29 to 504 of the family's 1533-position model. The record is from RNAcentral.
AGUGAACGCUGGCGGUAGGCCUAACACAUGCAAGUCGAACGGCAGCACAGUAAGAGCUUGCUCUUACGGGUGGCGAGUGGCGGACGGGUGAGGAAUACAUCGGAAUCUACUUUUUCGUGGGGGAUAACGUAGGGAAACUUACGCUAAUACCGCAUACGACCUACGGGUGAAAGCAGGGGAUCUUCGGACCUUGCGCGAUUGAAUGAGCCGAUGUCGGAUUAGCUAGUUGGCGGGGUAAAGGCCCACCAAGGCGACGAUCCGUAGCUGGUCUGAGAGGAUGAUCAGCCACACUGGAACUGAGACACGGUCCAGACUCCUACGGGAGGCAGCAGUGGGGAAUAUUGGACAAUGGGCGCAAGCCUGAUCCGGCCAUACCGCGUGGGUGAAGAAGGCCUGCGGGUUGUAAAGCCCUUUUGUUGGGAAAGAAAAGCAGCAGGUUAAUACCCCGCUGUGCUGACGGUACCCAAAGAAUAAGCACCGGCUAACUUC